ACCCAGCCUUGGAUCCUCUCUCUGCAAAAUGUACAAACAAUGUGUUCAGCUAAAACAGGAAUGCAAUGUGCUCACGAAGCCUUGAAACUGAGCCUGAAACUGGAAAUUGUAGACUACAUUUAGAAAGACCUUUAUUCCAAACUGUGGAGAGAAUCUUGAGGAGACCUGGAAUUCCCCAUCGGCAUCACGUGGUCAGUCAGCCACCACGUGCUUUCUGGUGAAAGAGAACACAGGCCGCGUUUCCUCAUCACGCAAUCUCGCCAACUGAGGGAUUAAUCCGGAGAAUGUCCACUGAACUUCCUCUGUGAUGCUUGGAUCACUACCGUUCAUCUAUAGUGCUUGGAUCCAGACUAUGCAGAAUGCACUUCGUAAUAGAACACAGUCAUUGACAGUGCAACUAAUACUUCUAUUAGUGGUUUAUUUCUGAAGAUUUUGGUAUGAAGUACAUCUGGUUUGUCAAGUUAGCAAAGCUCAUUCCAGCUGUAUGUUCAA
Long non-coding RNA from Hemiscyllium ocellatum (epaulette shark), 492 nucleotides. RefSeq lists it as uncharacterized. The transcript has 3 exons. NCBI's taxonomy places the organism in Eukaryota, Metazoa, Chordata, Chondrichthyes, Orectolobiformes, Hemiscylliidae. The record is from RefSeq and is a predicted model, not a curated record.